Molecule: long non-coding RNA, 1309 nt
Organism: Hippocampus comes (tiger tail seahorse)
Lineage: Eukaryota; Metazoa; Chordata; Actinopteri; Syngnathiformes; Syngnathidae
Exons: 2
Source: RefSeq, a predicted model, not a curated record
UGAUGAUAGGUUCAUUUAUUCGAGCUAAGGCCUGAUCCUCAUCUGUUAUACAUGAUGAGUCAAUUAUUGAGGCUUUUGUAAGUCAUUCACAAGGGCUUUUGGAACACUGAAAGUUUAGUAUGCCGGUCAUGCUUUCAACCCUAACCCUGACACAUUUCUCUUAAUGGUUACUAAGAGUGGAAAUGUGGGCCCAAAGCUUUUACAAACCUUUCUGCAUCUGCCUUAUCUGGAGAGUAAACAAUUUGUCACCAGCGAGAGUGUUACACAUCAUUUGUUCUCUUCACCUCCAGCUCCGAAGGAACAUUCAAUCCAAGGCUGGUGAGACUGAUGUGAGUGCACAACGGUAAUCUUCUGUGGACGUCUUCUCAGCACACCGCCACAAAACGAAGUGCAUACACAGCUUUGCUAGUUCUUCCUGUCUUUGUUUCUGUUUGACGUGCGUGGAUAAUGACUGAGCGAAUGGAAAUGUCGAAAUGGCAUUCAGGCUUCUUAUGGAACUGUCAUUGGAGGGAAAACUUGACCUCGUUCCAGCCUCGACUUCCAAGACAGAUGAGAGCCAUUAGUUCUUCAGUCAUUACAAAGAAUUGAUUAAAGGGACUGACUGUGUGUGAAGUUUUCUAAUUGGAUGCUGGGUAAACAAUUGCAUGGGAUGCUUUGAUUCCAUCCCCCACUGUUUUUCCUUUCAUUCUAAGGCCGGGCGGGUAAGGAGUAAAUGUCCUAUCUCCUUCGUCUUUCAGACUGUAUCAGUCAUCACGUUUAUUUUUUUCAAUUUAUUUUCUCAACACAUUGGCCAAGACCUUUGUUCACUGGUUGAGAACAAAAUGGUCAAUGGAAAAGCUGGAUUCCGAAUCAUACUCAAAAUCAAAUGUCAUCCAACCUCUGUGAAUCGUCCGAAGCCAACUCAAAACGGGAUGCAGUUGUGUGUAUGAUUUCUAUGCGCACGUGAAUGUUUUAAUGAGACGAAUGUUGUCCUGAGCGAUCUCCUUCGGAACCUGGAGGAAUCAGGUCCUCUGUCAGUCCAGCAGAAUUUUCUCCGUAGCAUCUCCUGUCCAUCACAUUUGCUCUGUGUGAAGCCGAUCUCAUCUGUAAAUAGAACAGAGUGUCCGUGGUGCGUCUUGACUACAAAUCUCCAAAAGGGCUGUGGAAGCGCCCCUAUUGUCUCUCCUUCUUUCUCCAUAUCCUGGAGGUGUAACUGCAUGGAGGUACACCGUGAUAAUAACGUGCCCCUCCUUCUUUAUUAUCUGCAGUGUGUGCCUGAAAGUCAGUAAAAAUAGUUCCAAUUUUGUCGUUAUCAUUAAAUGUGUGUCUU